GCGUUCGUGGUGUAACGGUUAGCAUGGAAGCCUUCCAUCCAAACAGGCAUAGCUUUCGGCAGGGGUUCGAUUCCCCUCGAACGCA
Rhodotorula diobovata is the source of this 85-nucleotide non-coding RNA. The record is from the annotation of a GenBank genome assembly. NCBI's taxonomy places the organism in Eukaryota, Fungi, Basidiomycota, Microbotryomycetes, Sporidiobolales, Sporidiobolaceae.